GAAGGCGUGGGGAGCAANCAGGAUUAGAUACCCUGGUAGUCCACGCAGUAAACGAUGAAUACUUGGUGUCGGGGAGAUAAANUCUUCGGUGCCGCAAGCAAACGCAUUAAGUAUUCCACCUGGGGAGUACGUUCGCAAGAAUGAAACUCAAAGGAAUUGACGGGGACCCGCACAAGCGGUGGAGCAUGUGGUUUAAUUNGAAGCAACGCGAAGAACCUUACCAAAUCUUGACAUACUCUUGAAUAAUUUUGUAAUGAGAUUAGUCUUUCGGGACAAGGGAUACAGGUGGUGCAUGGUUGUCGUCAGCUCGUGUCGUGAGAUGUUGGGUUAANNNNNNCNACGAGCGCAACCCUUGUCGUCAGUAGCCAGCAGUAAGAUGGGAACUCUGACGAGACAGCCGGAGAUAAUCCGGAGGAAGGUGGGGAUGACGUCAAAUCAUCAUGCCCCUUAUGAUUUGGGCUACACACGUGCUACAAUGGCGUAAACAAAGUGAAGCAAAACUGCGAGGUUAAGCAAAUCACAGAAAUAACGUCUCAGUUCGGAUUGUAGUCUGCAACUCGACUAUAUGAAGCCGGAAUCGCUAGUAAUCGCAGAUCAGAAU
Molecule: ribosomal RNA, 601 nt
Filed under: uncultured bacterium
Lineage: Bacteria
Description: bacterial SSU rRNA
Rfam family: Bacterial small subunit ribosomal RNA
Source: RNAcentral